This 77-nucleotide transfer RNA is filed under the name Burkholderiales bacterium. RNAcentral's name for it is "tRNA-His". It matches the Rfam family "tRNA". Rfam says of the family: Transfer RNA (tRNA) molecules are approximately 80 nucleotides in length. Their secondary structure includes four short double-helical elements and three loops (D, anti-codon, and T loops). RNAcentral also lists the same sequence under 4 other names. Lineage: Bacteria; Pseudomonadati; Pseudomonadota; Betaproteobacteria; Burkholderiales. The record is from RNAcentral.
GUGAGCGUAGCUCAGUUGGUUAGAGUCCCGGAUUGUGAUUCCGGUUGUCGUGGGUUCGAAUCCCAUCGCUCACCCCA